CGAAUGGAUUAAGAGCUUGCUCCUUAUGAAGUUAGCGGCGGACGGGUGAGUAACACGUGGGUAACCUGCCCAUAAGACUGGGAUAACUCCGGGAAACCGGGGCUAAUACCGGAUAACAUUUUGAACCGCAUGGUUCGAAAUUGAAAGGCGGCUUCGGCUGUCACUUAUGGAUGGACCCGCGUCGCAUUAGCUAGUUGGUGAGGUAACGGCUCACCAAGGCAACGAUGCGUAGCCGACCUGAGAGGGUGAUCGGCCACACUGGGACUGAGACACGGCCCAGACUCCUACGGGAGGCAGCAGUAGGGAAUCUUCCGCAAUGGACGAAAGUCUGACGGAGCAACGCCGCGUGAGUGAUGAAGGCUUUCGGGUCGUAAAACUCUGUUGUUAGGGAAGAACAAGUGCUAGUUGAAUAAGCUGGCACCUUGACGGUACCUAACCAGAAAGCCACGGCUAACUACGUGCCAGCAGCCGCGGUAAUACGUAGGUGGCAAGCGUUAUCCGGAAUUAUUGGGCGUAAAGCGCGCGCAGGUGGUUUCUUAAGUCUGAUGUGAAAGCCCACGGCUCAACCGUGGAGGGUCAUUGGAAACUGGGAGACUUGAGUGCAGAAGAGGAAAGUGGAAUUCCAUGUGUAGCGGUGAAAUGCGUAGAGAUAUGGAGGAACACCAGUGGCGAAGGCGACUUUCUGGUCUGUAACUGACACUGAGGCGCGAAAGCGUGGGGAGCAAACNGGAUUAGAUACCCUUGGUAGUCCACCGCCGUNAAACGAUGAAGUGCUAAAUGGUUAAAAGGGUUU
RNAcentral lists this ribosomal RNA (793 nucleotides) under Bacillus cereus. RNAcentral's name for it is "bacterial SSU rRNA". It matches the Rfam family "Bacterial small subunit ribosomal RNA", at positions 67 to 835 of the family's 1533-position model. The record is from RNAcentral. Lineage: Bacteria; Bacillati; Bacillota; Bacilli; Caryophanales; Bacillaceae.